ACCCAUGAGAGCGAAUGAGAUAAAGAAGGACACAACUAGAAUCCAAAACCAUUUUCUUAAGAAAAGAAUUAGAAGGCAGUCUUGCUUCUGUUCAGAAUUGAGAUAUACAUGCACCGCUGAUGGAGGCUACCACUUUCUUCCUAUUUAUUCAAUUUUCACACCUUGGAGCUUUAGUUCUUAGCAAGGUCAUUAUGAAAGCCGGACGGAAA
This 209-nucleotide small RNA is filed under the name Histoplasma capsulatum. RNAcentral's name for it is "hypothetical RNA". The record is from RNAcentral. Lineage: Eukaryota; Fungi; Ascomycota; Eurotiomycetes; Onygenales; Ajellomycetaceae. RNAcentral also lists the same sequence under 1 other name.